GCAAGUCGAACGGCAGCACGGGUGCUUGCACCUGGUGGCGAGUGGCGAACGGGUGAGUAAUAUAUCGGAACGUGCCCUAGAGUGGGGGAUAACGUAGCGAAAGUUACGCUAAUACCGCAUACGAUCUACGGAUGAAAGUGGGGGAUCGCAAGACCUCAUGCUCGUGGAGCGGCCGAUAUCUGAUUAGCUAGUUGGUGGGGUAAAAGCCUACCAAGGCGACGAUCAGUAGCUGGUCUGAGAGGACGACCAGCCACACUGGGACUGAGACACGGCCCAGACUCCUACGGGAGGCAGCAGUGGGGAAUUUUGGACAAUGGGGGAAACCCUGAUCCAGCAAUGCCGCGUGUGUGAAGAAGGCCUUCGGGUUGUAAAGCACUUUUGUCAGGAACGAAACGGUGGGAGCUAAUACCUCCUGCUAAUGACGGUACCUGAAGAAUAAGCACCGGCUAACUACGUGCCAGCAGCCGCGGUAAUACGUAGGGUGCGAGCGUUAAUCGGAAUUACUGGGCGUAAAGCGUGCGCAGGCGGUUGUGCAAGACAGAUGUGAAAUCCCCGGGCUUAACCUGGGAAUUGCAUUUGUGACUGCACGGCUAGAGUGUGUCAGAGGGGGGUAGAAUUCCACGUGUAGCAGUGAAAUGCGUAGAUAUGUGGAGGAAUACCGAUGGCGAAGGCAGCCCCCUGGGAUAACACUGACGCUCAUGCACGAAAGCGUGGGGAGCAAACAGGAUUAGAUACCCUGGUAGUCCACGCCCUAAACGAUGUCUACUAGUUGUCGGGUCUUAAUUGACUUGGUAACGCAGCUAACGCGUGAAGUAGACCGCCUGGGGAGUACGGUCGCAAGAUUAAAACUCAAAGGAAUUGACGGGGACCCGCACAAGCGGUGGAUGAUGUGGAUUAAUUCGAUGCAACGCG
This 912-nucleotide ribosomal RNA is filed under the name uncultured Burkholderiales bacterium. RNAcentral's name for it is "bacterial SSU rRNA". It matches the Rfam family "Bacterial small subunit ribosomal RNA", at positions 57 to 963 of the family's 1533-position model. Lineage: Bacteria; Pseudomonadati; Pseudomonadota; Betaproteobacteria; Burkholderiales. The record is from RNAcentral.